Molecule: long non-coding RNA, 1669 nt
Organism: Colius striatus (speckled mousebird)
Lineage: Eukaryota; Metazoa; Chordata; Aves; Coliiformes; Coliidae
Exons: 3
Source: RefSeq, a predicted model, not a curated record
AAUAAGACAGGGAGCACGUGGCAGAUUGGCAAACCCUCUCCUUUUUUGCUUUGCCUUUUCUGCUUUUUUUUUGAGUGGAGGCUCAUCUUUCCCUUUGCUUUAAGCAACAUUUCCAAUGGGAAGAAAGGCUGGAUGAAAUGACUGCCUCAUCACAGGGACCUCUUAGCAAGUUCCACAGUGCAGCUAAGAGGAAUUCUGCCUGCUCUCCUAAAAGUGAGCACAGUCGACACCUUUACAUAAAGACGGGAGGAGGAGCCACGCGUGAAGGGAGAAGGCAGAGACAGCUGCUGGCUGCCUGAUGGGAGAGUGUAUUUGCAGUGCGUGCCUAGCUUGAGGGAGGAUGUCUGGUGAAGUGCCAGUGCUGCAGCUGCACAGGGAGCUGUGGAGAAGAGGACCUGGUGCUCACACUGUCAUACAGGAAAAUGGGGACAAAUACUGGCAACCAGAUGAACAAGAGCCUCAUGGCAUUCCCUGAAGCAAGAGCUCAUUCUUCCCUUGUGCAUCAGGUUUGUGCUACAAGAAAGCACACAGUCCUCUGUCCCAGAGAGAAGCUCACUUCCACGAGGAGUGUCCAGAUGACAUCUGCCUCUUCCCAGGAUCAAGGGAAGCUGAGGAUCAGGAGAAUGGCAGAGAAGAAGCUGAGAGGGAUGCUCCAAGGAACUCAGUUCUACAAGAAGAUCAUAUGACAGAAGCUAAAAAAGUACUCCCCACCAGAAUGGCACUCAAAGGACUUUGUCUGGGUUCCUCUCUGCCCAGGAAGGGAUCUUAUUUUGUUUCUUCUCCCUCUACAUCAUGCACUGAAACCUGUAAUUCUGAAAGAAAGUCUGUCCAUGUAGAUGUCUGCAGAGAAACAGCUGGUGUCCAGGGAUCCAGAGACCUGGGCUGUGUUACAUGUGAUGCCCUCUCACUUCUGCAUCUUGAAGCAAGUCCCCUUGCCUCUGCAGUCUCCUUGCCAAGGUUUUGUGUAUCUGCUGCUCAGGAGUGUCCCAGGGCUCUAGGACAUACACCAUGUUUUCAGAGCACCUAGUGAACAACAGGUUCAUUUUAGCUGAGGUUUCCAAGUACAAAGUAAUUGUCAAACAAAGAAAGUAAUGCCAUUUACCAAACUCAUUUAUACUACGAAGAGCAGAUAAAUAGAUAUUACAAUCAGAAGUUAAUCUUCUGGCUACAGUCUGAUUUUAGUUUGUUAGUUCAGUUUGGUUGGUUUUGUCCAUGGGACCUCUUUCCUCCCAAAAAUGCACAGGUCUUAAUCUUCCUGACUAUUGAGUUCCAUCAGUACUGAUCUACUUUGAGAUGAACGCUGGCCUCAUUAGGCUUUACUUUGCUUCCCAUUUCACAGUUCAUCAGCUAAGAGCAGGCUGAGGUAACACCUGAGAAACAACACGGGCGCUUAGAGCGAAAAAUCGGGACAAGUGAAUCCAGUCCAAGCUCUGCCACUGACAUGAGACAAAUCGCUGCCCCUUUAGGUAAUGGGAGUAAUACUGGUAUAUCUUAUGGCAGAGGUGUGCCUGCUACUUCAGUUUGUAGAAUACUUGGAGAUGGUCAAAGUCCAUCUCAACAAAAGCACAAAGCUCUACUGGUAUGAUGCAUGUCCUAAAGUAAUCCUUUCUGACCUGGCACUGCACGUCUGGCCCCUAUCACGUCUCUGCAAUAAAAUAAGCUGUGUUUU